This 282-nucleotide ribosomal RNA is filed under the name uncultured Loktanella sp. RNAcentral's name for it is "partial 16S ribosomal RNA". It matches the Rfam family "Bacterial small subunit ribosomal RNA", at positions 54 to 353 of the family's 1533-position model. Lineage: Bacteria; Pseudomonadati; Pseudomonadota; Alphaproteobacteria; Rhodobacterales; Roseobacteraceae. The record is from RNAcentral.
UCGGCAGCUACCAUGCAAGUCGAGCGCACUCUUCGGAGUGAGCGGCGGACGGGUUAGUAACGCGUGGGAACAUACCCUUCUCUACGGAAUAGCCUCGGGAAACUGAGAGUAAUACCGUAUACGCCCUUCGGGGGAAAGAUUUAUCGGAGAUGGAUUGGCCCGCGUUAGAUUAGAUAGUUGGUGGGGUAAUGGCCUACCAAGUCUACGAUCUAUAGCUGGUUUGAGAGGAUGAUCAGCAACACUGGGACUGAGACACGGCCCAGACUCCUACGGGAGGCAGCA